UGUUGGGGUAACGGCCCAACAAGCCAUUGAUCGGUACGGGUUGUGGGAGCAAGAGCCCGGAGAUGGAUUCUGAGACAUGAAUCCAGGCCCUACGGGGCGCAGCAGGCGCGAAAACUUUACAAUGCGAGCAAUCGUGAUAAGGAAACCCUGAGUGCCUGUCAAUGCAGGCUGUUCUGGUGUCUAACACACACCAGGAGAAGGGGCGGGGCAAGACCGGUGCCAGCCGCCGCGGUAAUACCGGCUGCUCGAGUGAUAGCCGCUUUUACUGGGCUUAAAGCGUUCGUAGCUUGGUCGUUAAGUCUCUGGGGAAAUCUUUUGGCUUAACCAAAAGGCGUCUCAGGGAAACCGGCGAUCUUGGAACCGGGAGAGGUAAGACGUACUUCGGGGGUAGGAGUGAAAUCUUGUAAUCCCCGAGGGACGACCGAUGGCGAAGGCAUCUUACCAGAACGGCUUCGACAGUGAGGGACGAAAGCUGGGGGAGCAAACCGGAUUAGAU
Molecule: ribosomal RNA, 496 nt
Filed under: uncultured microorganism
Description: bacterial SSU rRNA
Rfam family: Archaeal small subunit ribosomal RNA
Source: RNAcentral